UGUGCCCUACGGGAGGCAGCAGUGGGGAAUAUUGGACAAUGGGGGGAACCCUGAUCCAGCGACGCCGCGUGAGUGAAGAAGUAUUUCGGUAUGUAAAGCUCUAUCAGCAGGGAAGAAAGAAAUGACGGUACCUGACUAAGAAGCCCCGGCUAACUACGUGCCAGCAGCCGCGGUAAUACGGAGGAUGCGAGCGUUAUCCGGAUUUAUUGGGUUUAAAGGGUGCGUAGGCGGAAUGCCAAGUCAGCGGUAAAAUCGCGGGGCUCAACCUCGCUCCGCCGUUGAAACUGGCGUUCUUGAGUGGGCGG
RNAcentral lists this ribosomal RNA (305 nucleotides) under uncultured bacterium. RNAcentral's name for it is "bacterial SSU rRNA". It matches the Rfam family "Bacterial small subunit ribosomal RNA", at positions 333 to 653 of the family's 1533-position model. The record is from RNAcentral.